This 253-nucleotide ribosomal RNA is filed under the name uncultured bacterium. RNAcentral describes it as "partial 16S ribosomal RNA". It matches the Rfam family "Bacterial small subunit ribosomal RNA", at positions 524 to 776 of the family's 1533-position model. The record is from RNAcentral.
UACAGAGGGUGCGAGCGUUAAUCGGAAUUACUGGGCGUAAAGCGCGCGUAGGCGGCUUUGCAAGUCGGGUGUGAAAUCCCCAGGCUUAACCUGGGAACUGCAUUCGAUACUGGAUAGCUAGAGUUCGGCAGAGGGAAGCGGAAUUUCGGGUGUAGCGGUGAAAUGCGUAGAUAUCCGAAGGAACAUCAGUGGCGAAAGCGGCUUCCUGGACCAGAACUGACGAUCAGGCUCGAAAGCGUGGGGAGCAAACAGG